GAUUAUGGCUCAGGAUGAACGCUAGCGGCAGGCUUAACACAUGCAAGUCGAGGGGCAUCGGGAGUAGCAAUACUUGCCGGCGACCGGCGCAAGGGUGCGUAACGCGUGAGCAACAUACCCGUAUCAGGGGGAUAAUCCAUGGAAACGUGGUCUAAUACCCCAUAGUAAUUAUGUAAGGCAUCUUAUAUAAUUUAAAGCUUUGGUGGAUACGGAUUGGCUCGCGUGACAUUAGCUGGAUGGUAAGGUAACGGCUUACCAUGGCUACGAUGUCUAGGGGUUCUGAGAGGAAGGUCCCCCACACUGGAACUGAGACACGGUCCAGACUCCUACGGGAGGCAGCAGUGAGGAAUAUUGGACAAUGGAUGGAAAUCUGAUCCAGCCAUGCCGCGUGCAAGGAAGACGGCCCUAUGGGUUGUAAACUGCUUUUGUAUGGGAGCAAUAAGGGCUACGUGUAGUCCGAUGAGAGUACCAUACGAAUAAGCACCGGCUAACUCCGUGCCAGCCGCGGC
This 509-nucleotide ribosomal RNA is filed under the name uncultured bacterium. RNAcentral describes it as "bacterial SSU rRNA". It matches the Rfam family "Bacterial small subunit ribosomal RNA", at positions 15 to 518 of the family's 1533-position model. The record is from RNAcentral.